Molecule: transfer RNA, 57 nt
Filed under: Ictidomys tridecemlineatus (thirteen-lined ground squirrel)
Lineage: Eukaryota; Metazoa; Chordata; Mammalia; Rodentia; Sciuridae
Description: Spermophilus tridecemlineatus (thirteen-lined ground squirrel) tRNA
Rfam family: tRNA
About the family: Transfer RNA (tRNA) molecules are approximately 80 nucleotides in length. Their secondary structure includes four short double-helical elements and three loops (D, anti-codon, and T loops).
Source: Rfam by way of RNAcentral
UAGCUAAGAAGUAGAGCACAUGCCUAGCAUGCAUGAGUCCCUGGGUUCAAUCCCCAG